RNAcentral lists this ribosomal RNA (185 nucleotides) under Staphylococcus aureus. Its description in RNAcentral is "partial 16S ribosomal RNA". It matches the Rfam family "Bacterial small subunit ribosomal RNA", at positions 1 to 180 of the family's 1533-position model. The record is from RNAcentral. Lineage: Bacteria; Bacillati; Bacillota; Bacilli; Caryophanales; Staphylococcaceae.
UUUAUGGAGAGUUUGAUCCUGGCUCAGGAUGAACGCUGGCGGCGUGCCUAAUACAUGCAAGUCGAGCGAACGGACGAGAAGCUUGCUUCUCUGAUGUUAGCGGCGGACGGGUGAGUAACACGUGGACAACCUACCUAUAAGACUGGGAUAACUUCGGGAAACCGGAGCUAAUACCGGAUAAUAUU